CCUACGGGGGGCAGCAGUGGGGAAUAUUGCACAAUGGGGGAAACCCUGAUGCAGCGACGCCGCGUGAAGGAAGAAGGUCUUCGGAUCGUAAACUUCUAUCAGCAGGGAAGAAGGAAGUGACGGUACCUGACUAAGAAGCCCCGGCUAACUACGUGCCAGCAGCCGCGGUAAUACGUAGGGGGCAAGCGUUAUCCGGAAUCACUGGGUGUAAAGGGUGCGUAGGCGGUAGGGCAAGUCAGAUGUGAAAGCCCGGAGCUCAACUCCGGGAUUGCAUUUGAAACUGUCUUACUAGAGUGCAGGAUAGGAAAGCGUAAUUCCUAGAGUAGCGGUGAAAUGGGUAGAUAUUAGGAAGAACACCAGGGGCGAAGGCGGCUUUCAGGAGUGUAACUGACGCAGAGGCACGAAAGCGUGGGGAGCGAACAGGAUUAGAUACCCUGGUAGUC
RNAcentral lists this ribosomal RNA (443 nucleotides) under uncultured bacterium. RNAcentral's name for it is "bacterial SSU rRNA". It matches the Rfam family "Bacterial small subunit ribosomal RNA", at positions 338 to 795 of the family's 1533-position model. The record is from RNAcentral.